CGCGUAGGCGGCCCGGUAAGUCCGCUGUAAAAGUCCAGGGCUCAACCCUGGAAAGCCGGUGGAUACUGUCGGGCUCGAGUCCGGAAGAGGCGAGUGGAAUUCCUGGUGUAGCGGUGGAAUGCGCAGAUAUCAGGAGGAACACCGAUAGCGAAGGCAGCUCGCUGGGACGGUACUGACGCUGAGGCGCGAAAGCGUGGGGAGCGAAC
Molecule: ribosomal RNA, 206 nt
Filed under: uncultured bacterium
Lineage: Bacteria
Description: partial 16S ribosomal RNA
Rfam family: Bacterial small subunit ribosomal RNA
Source: RNAcentral